Molecule: ribosomal RNA, 776 nt
Filed under: uncultured Neocallimastigales
Lineage: Eukaryota; Fungi; Neocallimastigomycota; Neocallimastigomycetes; Neocallimastigales
Description: partial large subunit ribosomal RNA
Rfam family: Eukaryotic large subunit ribosomal RNA
Source: RNAcentral
GUACACGCUGUGACUAGCAUAUCAAUAAGCGGAGGAAAAGAAACUAACAAGGAUUCCCUCAGUAACGGCGAGUGAAGCGGGAAGAGCUCAAAUUUGAAAUCUUGAAAGGUCACCUUUCACGAAUUGUAGUUUAAAGAAGUGUUUUCUGUUACGAUCGUAAUAUAAGUUCUUUGGAAUAGGACAUCACUAGAGGGUGAGAAUCCCGUCUAUGAUUGACAUAUUUUAGCUCUGUGAUACACUUUCAAAGAGUCGGGUUGUUUGGGAAUGCAGCCCAAAACGGGAGGUAGAUUUCUUCUAAGGCUAAAUAUUGGCGAGAGACCGAUAGCGAACAAGUACCGUGAGGGAAGAUGAAAAGAACUUUGAAAAGAGAGUUAAACAGUACGUGAAAUUGUCAAAAGGGAAGCGUUUGACACCAGUGUUGUUUUCUCGAAAAUCAAUUAAAAAUGGCUCGAUUUUGUAUUGCUUGAGACCUUAAAAGCUCACUGUACAUUUUUCGUGUCUUUUUUAAUGUACUUUUCGUUUAACAAGUCAACAUCAGUUUCUUUUGUUGUAAAAGGGUCAUUGGAAGGUGGCUUUCUUUUCGGAGAAAGUGUUUAUAGCCUUUGGCCUCUGCAAUCGGAGAGACUGAGGUCUGCAGCGUAGACUCUUCGGGGUUAGAUACAUUUGUGCUAAGUUAUAGCUUUUUAUAGACAACUUGUUGACUAUAAUUAGUCUUGUAGCUUACUCGCUUAUGCUAUUUUACCUACGCUUAGGAUGUUGAGUAGCGACAUACGCAC